CGGCACGUGGCAGAGUGGUCGAUUGCACCUGACUGUAACCCAGGUCUCUAACAAGCGCGCUAGUUCGAAUCUAGCCGUGCCGA
This 83-nucleotide transfer RNA is filed under the name Obscuribacter sp. (SeqCode). RNAcentral describes it as "tRNA-Tyr". It matches the Rfam family "tRNA". Rfam says of the family: Transfer RNA (tRNA) molecules are approximately 80 nucleotides in length. The record is from RNAcentral. Lineage: Bacteria; Bacillati; Candidatus Melainabacteria; Candidatus Obscuribacterales; Obscuribacteraceae (SeqCode).